UACGUAGGGUGCAAGCGUUAAUCGGAAUUACUGGGCGUAAAGCGUGCGCAGGCGGUUUGGUAAGUCUGUCGUGAAAGCCCCGGGCUCAACCUGGGAAUUGCGAUGGAGACUGCAAGGCUUGAAUCUGGCAGAGGGGGGUAGAAUUCCACGUGUAGCAGUGAAAUGCGUAGAGAUGUGGAGGAACACCGAUGGCGAAGGCAGCCCCCUGGGUCAAGAUUGACGCUCAUGCACGAAAGCGUGGGGAGCGAACAGG
This 253-nucleotide ribosomal RNA is filed under the name uncultured bacterium. Its description in RNAcentral is "partial 16S ribosomal RNA". It matches the Rfam family "Bacterial small subunit ribosomal RNA", at positions 524 to 776 of the family's 1533-position model. The record is from RNAcentral.